AGGACGAACGCUGGCGGCGUGCUUAACGCAUGCAAGUCGAGCGGAAAGGCCCUUCGGGGUACUCGAGCGGCGAACGGGUGAGUAACACGUGAGCAACCUGCCCUUAGCUCCGGGAUAGCUCCGGGAAACCGGAAUUAAUACCGGAUAUGACCUAGGCCGACAUCGGCCGUGGUGGAAAGUUUUUCGGCUAGGGAUGGACUCGCGGCCUAUCAGCUAGUUGGUGGGGUAAUGGCCUACCAAGGCGACGACGGGUAG
RNAcentral lists this ribosomal RNA (255 nucleotides) under uncultured bacterium. RNAcentral's name for it is "partial small subunit ribosomal RNA". It matches the Rfam family "Bacterial small subunit ribosomal RNA", at positions 26 to 286 of the family's 1533-position model. The record is from RNAcentral.